RNAcentral lists this ribosomal RNA (1086 nucleotides) under Penicillium oxalicum. RNAcentral's name for it is "SSU rRNA". It matches the Rfam family "Eukaryotic small subunit ribosomal RNA", at positions 56 to 1148 of the family's 1831-position model. Lineage: Eukaryota; Fungi; Ascomycota; Eurotiomycetes; Eurotiales; Aspergillaceae. The record is from RNAcentral.
UACAUGAGUAUGAGAACUGAGUACUGUGAAACUGCGAAUGGCUCAUUAAAUCAGUUAUCGUUUAUUUGAUAGUACCUUACUACAUGGAUACCUGUGGUAAUUCUAGAGCUAAUACAUGCUAAAAACCCCGACUUCAGGAAGGGGUGUAUUUAUUAGAUAAAAAACCAACGCCCUUCGGGGCUCCUUGGUGAAUCAUAAUAACUUAACGAAUCGCAUGGCCUUGCGCCGGCGAUGGUUCAUUCAAAUUUCUGCCCUAUCAACUUUCGAUGGUAGGAUAGUGGCCUACCAUGGUGGCAACGGGUAACGGGGAAUUAGGGUUCGAUUCCGGAGAGGGAGCCUGAGAAACGGCUACCACAUCCAAGGAAGGCAGCAGGCGCGCAAAUUACCCAAUCCCGAUACGGGGAGGUAGUGACAAUAAAUACUGAUACGGGGCUCUUUUGGGUCUCGUAAUUGGAAUGAGAACAAUUUAAAUCCCUUAACGAGGAACAAUUGGAGGGCAAGUCUGGUGCCAGCAGCCGCGGUAAUUCCAGCUCCAAUAGCGUAUAUUAAAGUUGUUGCAGUUAAAAAGCUCGUAGUUGAACCUUGGGUCUGGCUGGCCGGUCCGCCUCACCGCGAGUACUGUCCGGCUGGACCUUUCCUUCUGGGGAACCUCAUGGCCUUCACUGGCUGUGGGGGGAACCAGGACUUUUACUGUGAAAAAAUUAGAGUGUUCAAAGCAGGCCUUUGCUCGAAUACAUUAGCAUGGAAUAAUAGAAUAGGACGUGCGGUUCUAUUUUGUUGGUUUCUAGGACCGCCGUAAUGAUUAAUAGGGAUAGUCGGGGGCGUCAGUAUUCAGCUGUCAGAGGUGAAAUUCUUGGAUUUGCUGAAGACUAACUACUGCGAAAGCAUUCGCCAAGGAUGUUUUCAUUAAUCAGGGAACGAAAGUUAGGGGAUCGAAGACGAUCAGAUACCGUCGUAGUCUUAACCAUAAACUAUGCCGACUAGGGAUCGGACGGGAUUCUAUGAUGACCCGUUCGGCACCUUACGAGAAAUCAAAGUUUUGGGUUUCUUGGGGGGGAGUAUGGUCGCCAAGGCUGAAACUAUGAA